This 368-nucleotide ribosomal RNA is filed under the name uncultured organism. Its description in RNAcentral is "bacterial SSU rRNA". It matches the Rfam family "Bacterial small subunit ribosomal RNA", at positions 526 to 896 of the family's 1533-position model. The record is from RNAcentral.
CGAAGGUCCCAAGCGUUAUCCGGAUUUAUUGGGUUUAAAGGGUGCGUAGGCGGGUUAUUAAGUCAGUGGUGAAAGCUCUCAGCCUAACUGAGAAAUUGCCAUUGAUACUGAUGGUCUUGAGUACAUUUGAAGUGGGCGGAAUGUGUCAUGUAGUGGUGAAAUACUUAGAUAUGACACAGAACACCGAUUGCGUAGGCAGCUCGCUAAACUGUAACUGACGCUGAGGCACGAAAGCGUGGGGAGCAAACAGGAUUAGAUACCCUGGUAGUCCACGCCCUAAACGAUGAUCACUCGAUGUGUGCAAUACACCGUACGCGUCCAAGCGAAAGCAUUAAGUGAUCCACCUGGGGAGUACGGCCGCAAGGCUG